GGAAAAAAGAAAGUAGGGACAAGGCAUUGUAUGGAUUAUAAUGUAGCAGAAUCUGUAUUUUAAUGUGUUAGGUUAAUGUGUAACUAGGGAUAUCAUGUUACAUAUCUGUAAAUGAGUGGUAAAAGUAAAAAUAUUUACAUUUAUAUUUAGAUUAAUACUUUGUCCAAUAAUCUUUCUGAACAUAGUUAUAGCAGAAGUCACAAUUGAUUCAGCUUGGACUUAAUGGAUAUAUUACCACGGAUUCAGACUUCACAUAUAGAGAAAUGCUCAUUAAUUUGGAAUAACCUAAUUAAAUAAUGUAGUUCAUUUAGUAAUCUAGUGGCUAAAAUUUAACAGUCUUUACUUCUUAUAUAGCCAGUUUCAAGAGGGUUCGCAAUUUGGUCAGGAAGAGUUUCAGACGUUUUAAAGAAAAUAUUAUCCAAGGAAAGCAAUUUUGCUAAAUAUUAUAUCUAAAAGGCUAUAAAAAGGGCUAUUGAGAUAUAAUGUCUAGAAAACCAGUUUGCUUUUUCUCCUAAGCGUAAUAUUAGCUUCAAAAAAAGUGACUCAGUGCAGUUGAACAUUCACUUACUAAACAUAAUUAACCGUCUCUUAUUAUAAAGUUAAUACUAUGGGCUAUUGUGAUGUCAUGAUUGCUUUUGGUUUUAACUUGCUUCAUUUUACCUUGAUCUCCUUUCCACAUUUCGUUCAGUUGAAAAGGAGAUGUAUGAAAAUGUUUAUUAUGAUUUCAGAAAAAUAUGGAGGACACUUUAAAGCUGCUUGGAUUAACUUGUGAUAAACAUCAGACUUCAUGCAUACAAAGCCUUGCUAUGAUGUAAGACACUGAUGGUAAUAGUUUUUCCAGGGUUAGUUUUUAGUUUAUGUGUUAUCCAGAACUUUAUUGUAGAAUUUGUCCAUAAUAAAUGUUUACCAUCAUUUCUAAAUAUAUAUGGAAUGCCUAUUACCCUGAACCUAAGAUAGAAAAUGCUGGUUUUUUGUUUUGUUUUGUUUUGUUUUUAAUGCAGAUAACAAGUGAGAAGGAAAGAGUUAAAAGAUGUGCAAAUUAGUUCAGGCCAGAUGAAUUGCCCCUAUAUGAGGCAAGGUUGGUAUCUGCAGUGGUGAAAUUGUGGCAGUGCCAUCAUAGUUCUCAGUAGUUAACUUUUUCUCUUUUUUUUCUUUUCUUUUCUAUAGGUGACAUGAGAAUUUUUCAGAUUUCAAAAAAGACAUGGUUUGGCUAUUUCUUAACAAGGUUAAACAGAUACUUAUGAUAUAACCCAGCAACCCCACUGCUAGAUAUUUACCCAAGAAAAAUGAAGUUAUUUGUCCAUACAAAAAUACUCUCUGUAAAUGUUGCCAGUAGCUUUCUUCAUAAUCACCCAAAGACAUUUGGUAACAACCCAAAUGUCUGGCAGCUGGUGAUUGGAUAAACAAAUUGAGAUACAUCCAUAUAAUGGAAUAUAACUUAACAAUAAGAAGGAUCAAAGUACCGAUAUGUCCAACAACAUGGACGAAACUUAAAAGCAUUUAUACUAAGUAAAAGAUACUAGAAUCAGAAGUUUAUAUAUUCUGUGAUUCCAUUUACAUGGCAUUCCGUAAAAUAAAACUGGGGACAGAAAUCAUAUCCAUGGUUACCAUGGAGGGAGGGGGAUUGGAGUAGGCGAUUGAUUUCAGAGGGGCCUGACUUUUUGGUGUGAUAGAAAUGUUUCCUGUCUUGAAGUGUAGUGUUCACACAGCUGUAUAAGUUUUUCAAAACCCACAGAACCAUCUGAAAAGGUGAAUUUAACUAUAUGUAAAUUAUACUUCGAAAAAUGAAUAAGAAAAGACACAGUUUAAUAGUAGUCACCCCUUAUCCACAGUUUCACUUUUCAAGGUUUCAGUGACCUGUGGUCAACUGCCUCUCAAAAUAUUAAGUGGAAAAUUCCUGAAAUAAACAAUUUAUAAGUUUUAUAUGGCAUGAUGCUCUGAGUAUGGUGAUGAAAUCUCACACAGACCUGCUGUAUUCUGCCCAGGGCGUGAACCUUCCCUUUGUCCAUAGAUCCAUGCUGUCUACACUCUCUGCCCGUUAGGCACUUCGUAGCCAUCUCAGUGAUCAGAUCAGCGUCCUGCUAUUGCAGCACUUGUGUGCAAGUAAUCCUUACUUUACCUCAUAGUGACCCAGAAGCACAAGAGUAGUGAUAUUGGCAUAUUGUUCCAAUUGUUCUGUUUUAUUAGAGAUUAUUCUUAAUCUCUUACUAUGCCUAGUUUAUAAAUUAAAAUUUAUAAGGGGUAUGUAUUAUUGGAAAAAACAUAUAUAGGGUAGGUACCGUCCGCAGUUUUAGGCAUCCACUUACAUAAUGGGGGACCUUGGAAUGUAUCCCCUGUGAAUAAUGGGGGCUACUGUACAUCUACCAUAUAUUACAAAACACCCCCCGUGGAGACUGGGGCUGUACUAUGUAACAGUGAUAUUUUUGUAGUGAAAUAUAUGACAGCUGUGCUGUGUAGCUGUGUACACUAAAUGGGUCAAGUUUUGCUGCCAUCUGAGUUUUUAGAGCUUUUUGGGUUUCAGAUUUGCAAACAAGGGAGUGUGAAUUGAUGGCUGUAGAAAAAGGACCUGUGAUAUAGAACAAAAUGUAAAAACUAUUGCCAAGUUGUUUUGGAUCAAAUAGGGAAUUUACUUUUCCUGAUUUAAAUCACUUUUUAUGCAGCAGACACUGUGAUGGU
This 2676-nucleotide long non-coding RNA is filed under the name Homo sapiens (human). RNAcentral's name for it is "HSALNT0345122". The record is from RNAcentral. Lineage: Eukaryota; Metazoa; Chordata; Mammalia; Primates; Hominidae.